Nicotiana tabacum (common tobacco) is the source of this 1680-nucleotide long non-coding RNA. RefSeq lists it as uncharacterized. The record is from RefSeq and is a predicted model, not a curated record. Lineage: Eukaryota; Viridiplantae; Streptophyta; Magnoliopsida; Solanales; Solanaceae.
GAUGCAUUGGAACGAAGGGAGUAACUUGGAGGCCUGUCGACCAUCAUGUUACUUCCAGUUGGAGAAGUGCAUUUCUUUUUGUAUUUGUGUGUGUGUGUGUGGAGAAUAACCAGAAACAUAUUCAAGUUUUAAGGCUUUGAACUGCUUCACAUAUAUGAGAGAUGACUUGUGCAGAUACCAAUGGUUAAAAUGCAUACCACUUAGAACCCAUCCAACAAAAUUUCAAAACCAUUUAAUCUUACAAAUAUAAGACAAAUUAAGUGUUCCACAGAGGGCUACAAUUCAACCUUUCCCCUUGAGUUAAUUAUGCAUAACAAAUACAAUUUCUUAAUACGUCAUAGAUAAAAACCAAAUAUUUGUGUUUUAGUAACUAACCCAUGGCAUACUUUUGAGUCCAGCUUCGAGCAGUGGCUUCAUACUUGAUUUUAUCGGUCUUGAGAGCGUGUCUUCAUUCCAUCACCAUUACCUGUCUCUCUUGGAUAAACUAGCACAACGACAGUCAUUGAGCAUAGUGAGUUUUUUUCCAUAUGGUCGCAGAUGUGUUGUUCUUUCUAGCAAAAGGGUCCUAGCGCGAUUCUGAUUCUAAAUUCGGUUUUAUAAUAAACAAGACCAAUUUGCAAUUGCUGAAGCCAAAAAGGAGCUGGGAGAUGCAUCAUAACUUUAUUUUUCAAGCUGGAGAGCAGUAUGCUGAAUUUGUAGCACAUGCUAUGUUGUUGGAAUCUGAGAUUCAAAUUGCAACUCCAAAUCAACUGUUCGACUGCUUAAGCCACUACUUCAAAUUUGGCAUUAUUACUGGAGAUGAUGUUCAAUAUGAGCUUUCAGAGGUGCAGUGAUGUUGUUUAAUGGUGGUGGUCCUUCAAGAAAAUCCCAAGCCCAGUUUCUCAAAGAUAAGAAAGGUAAAAGAAGGUGAUGAGAGCUAUAUAGAAGGACAAUCAUAUGAGAUUCACUCUGUUUCUGAGCUUUCAACAGUAUCACAUUCGCCUCUUCAAGUUGAUGAUCCGAAAGAGGAGGAGAAGGAACUUUUCUAAUAAUUAAUAAGCAGUCCGCAAUCUAAAGAUACAGGUAGCUAUAACACAACACUUUCUGGGUGGUCUUCAGAGCCCAAUAUCAUAGCUGCCAACGACUACAAUAUUGCAAAGGAUGAACUCAAAAAAUUCUGCAAAUUCUUAUUAGCUGCGUCAUCCACCUGAUCUUUCUCUGUUGCUCGGAUCAACUGAUUUCUCUAUACUGCUCUUUGUUGAUACUCCAUCAUUAAUACCAUGAAGCAACGAAGCUGCAUAUAUAGUAGCACAUUAGUAAAAGGAUUCAGCUAAAUUUGACAGAUGAAUUAAGUAAGAUAAAUACUUCAUCUAUCUAUCAAGUUGCUUCGUUUCAUCAGCGAACACAAAGAAGGUCUUGAAGAACACCACACAUCUAAGGUAUCUUCACAGCUACUGGGAAAUUUCUUAGAAUAGUACUGUCAUUUGGUCUUGAAUCAUACUUAAGCCCCAAUAUUAUCCCCACCAAAAGUAAUUACCUGUGUAUCAAAUAUAGUUAUUUUGAUAUCAGCGAAAGUAAUUACCUUUGUCAUUAUGUAUUUAGUUUUGGUAUUUUUAUUUUUGCGUUAAACCAUUGACUAGAGGUGCAAUAUCUCGAGGGAUAGUUUUUCCAAGCCAUUUUUAGCCAUCAUAUUUGCUAUUC